RNAcentral lists this transfer RNA (81 nucleotides) under Nilaparvata lugens yeast-like symbiont. RNAcentral's name for it is "tRNA-Ser (CGA) (tRNA-Ser-CGA-1-1)". It matches the Rfam family "tRNA". Rfam says of the family: Transfer RNA (tRNA) molecules are approximately 80 nucleotides in length. Their secondary structure includes four short double-helical elements and three loops (D, anti-codon, and T loops). The record is from RNAcentral. RNAcentral also lists the same sequence under 1 other name. Lineage: Eukaryota; Fungi; Ascomycota.
GGCAGAGUGCCGGAGUGGUUAUCGGGUAGCGCUCGAAACGCUAUGGCCUUGGCCGCGCAGGUUCGAAUCCUGUCUCUGUCG